This 919-nucleotide ribosomal RNA is filed under the name uncultured archaeon. RNAcentral's name for it is "bacterial SSU rRNA". It matches the Rfam family "Archaeal small subunit ribosomal RNA", at positions 1 to 922 of the family's 1478-position model. The record is from RNAcentral.
UUCCGGUUGAUCCUGCCGGAGGCCAUUGCUAUCGGAGUCCGAUUUAGCCAUGCUAGUCGCACGAGUUUAGACUCGUGGCGGAAAGCUCAGUAACACGUGGUCGAACUGCCCUGUGGACCAGGAUAACCUCGGGAAACUGAGGCUAAUCCUGGAUACAGCUCCCAGGCUUGAAUGCGGGGAGCUAGAAACGCUCUGGCGCCACAGGAUGUGACUGCGGCCGAUUAGGUAGACGGUGGGGUAACGGCCCACCGUGCCGAUAAUCGGUACGGGUCGUGAGAGCAAGAGCCCGGAGACGGUAUCUGAGACAAGAUACCGGGCCCUACGGGGCGCAGCAGGCGCGAAACCUUUACACUGCACGACAGUGCGAUAGGGGGACUCCGAGUGCGAGGGCAUAUAGUCCUCGCUUUUCUGUACCGUAAGGUGGUACAGGAACAAGUGCUGGGCAAGACCGGUGCCAGCCGCCGCGGUAAUACCGGCAGCACGAGUGAUGGCCGCUCUUAUUGGGCCUAAAGCGUCCGUAGCCGGCCAGUCAAGUCCGUUGGGAAAUCGGCGCGCCUAACGCGUCGGCGUCCAGCGGAAACUGACUGGCUUGGGGCCGGAAGACCUGAGGGGUACGUCCGGGGUAGGAGUGAAAUCCUGUAAUCCUGGACGGACCACCGGUGGCGAAAGCGCCUCAGGAAGACGGACUCGACGGUGAGGGGCGAAAGCUAGGGUCUCGAACCGGAUUAGAUACCCGGGUAGUCCUAGCUGUAAACGAUGCUCGCUAGGUGUGGCGCAGGCUACGAGCCUGCGCUGUGCCGUAGGGAAGCCGUGAAGCGAGCCGCCUGGGAAGUACGACUGCAAGGAUGAAACUUAAAGGAAUUGGCGGGGGAGCACUACAACCGGAGGAGCCUGCGGUUUAAUUGGACUCAACGCCGGA